CCUACGGGGGACAGCAGUGAGGAAUAUUGGUCAAUGGACGAGAGUCUGAACCAGCCAAGUAGCGUGAAGGAUGACUGCCCUAUGGGUUGUAAACUUCUUUUAUAUGGGAAUAAACUGUUCCACGUGUGGGAUUUUGUAUGUACCAUAUGAAUAAGGAUCGGCUAACUCCGUGCCAGCAGCCGCGGUAAUACGGAGGAUCCGAGCGUUAUCCGGAUUUAUUGGGUUUAAAGGGAGCGUAGGUGGAUUGUUAAGUCAGUUGUGAAAGUUUGCGGCUCAACCGUAAAAUUGCAGUUGAAACUGGCAGUCUUGAGUACAGUAGAGGUGGGCGGAAUUCGUGGUGUAGCGGUGAAAUGCUUAGAUAUCACGAAGAACUCCGAUUGCGAAGGCAGUUCACUGGACUGCAACUGACACUGAGGCUCGAAAGUGUGGGUAUCAAACAGGAUUAGAUACCCUUGUAGUC
This 460-nucleotide ribosomal RNA is filed under the name uncultured bacterium. RNAcentral's name for it is "partial 16S ribosomal RNA". It matches the Rfam family "Bacterial small subunit ribosomal RNA", at positions 338 to 795 of the family's 1533-position model. The record is from RNAcentral.